GUGUGUGUGUGUGUGUGUGUGUGUGUGUGUAUAUAAUGCACACUACAUAAACACACUGCAUUAUAUACACACACUAUACAAACUCACUG
Non-coding RNA from Pelobates cultripes (western spadefoot toad), 89 nucleotides. The record is from the annotation of a GenBank genome assembly. NCBI's taxonomy places the organism in Eukaryota, Metazoa, Chordata, Amphibia, Anura, Pelobatidae.